Molecule: RNA transcript, 7238 nt
Organism: Topomyia yanbarensis
Lineage: Eukaryota; Metazoa; Arthropoda; Insecta; Diptera; Culicidae
Exons: 3
Source: RefSeq, a predicted model, not a curated record
GUCGAAUUGACAGAUGCAACAAAUUUGCUGUCAUGCUGACAGACGACGAAGUGCAUCACGAAUGUAGUGCGAGGGAACUGUCAGACAACAUAAGUAAACAAACAACAUAAGAAGGAAAGUAGGAUAGAAAAACACCAUUUUGAAAGUGAUAGUAGUAGAAUAGUAAAAUACGUUGGAAUAAGAAAUUAGAAGUUGUGAGCAAGGAAAUUAUUCGGAUAGUGGAUAGAUUAAAGAUUAAGCUGUACUAAGAUCCAGAAUACGUAAGUUUGUGAAACAAUAUAAAGCAGUGAAUUAAAGUAACAAAUUUAUGACUAGAUACGCGGAGGCAAACACUGGACAAAUACGAACGGUACAGUUGAGAUUAUCAAUUCCGAGAUAAAACGAAGUAAGUGAACGUACAAAUUAAUUACUAAAACCGAUAAAAUGAAAAAUGUGAAUAUUAAAUUGUAGAUAAAUUGCGAUAGACAGCGAUAGAGGAAGGAAAAGAGGAAGCUGUAAAGUAAGGAGAACAAACAAUUUUUGAUCUGCACAGAAAAAAAUGGCGGAUUUUCAAAAAUCUUGUUUUCGCCUGCCGUCCGAACAAAAUCAAAAAUUGUUUCUCGGAUAGUGUGCAGGAUGGCUUCUUCUCCUUCGAAGCAAGAAAAGUGUCUGUACUGCAAACUAGCGGAAUCCGAUGACAUCGAUUGGGUUCAAUGCGAAGAAUGUCAGUAUUGGGCUCAUUUCUCGUGCGCAGGUGUUAACCAAGAAGUGGCGAACGUUAGUUGGCGUUGUCCGCGAUGCUCUCCGCAAAGCGCCCGGCGUCUUAAAGUUCCAGAGACUACGGCUAAGAAUCGCGGGAAGAAGUCCGCCCCGAAUAGCGAUGCAGGGUCCGAUCGUGGAGCUGGUUCCGUCUUAGACCUGACUGAGCAGCAGUUGGAAGAGGAACAGCUAGCAAUGGAGAUGGCCUUUGCAAAGCAGAUCGAGUUGCGGAAACAGCGUCUUGCUAAGCAGCAGGCUUGGAACGAGAGGCGGAUGAAGCUAGAGUGGGAGAUGCGCGAGCAGGAGCUACGAGCGCAGCGUGAAAUGGAGCAGCGGCAGCUAGAGCAUGAGCAGAAAAUGCUUGACUGCCAAUUGGCCGCAGAACGUGAAUUCUCGAAGAAGCGGGAUGCUAUUCGGAAACAGUUCGACGACAGCAUUAAUAAGGUCAACGCAUUGAAGGGCCAAUAUGGAGCUGUCAGCGGUGCUUCUGCCUCCAAACCGGAACAGAAGGUGGAUGACUGGAUGCUGGAUUAUCGCGGAGCAUAUCCAAAGCCAGGAUAUCUGCAGACGGAAGAUAAACUCGCGUGUCCGAAGAAGGUGCCGUUAGAUAAGUCGUUCACCAUCGAAGCCAGCCAAUUCGAGCGAAGUAACGAAGAUGUGAGUGACGGUGAAGUUUCGGAGGUCGCGCCGAGUAGAUGCAGUCGAAGCAGCUUUCAAAGGUGCGGAGAUGGAAACGGGUCGGGGUGUAUCGUGGGUCGUAUUACAAGAGAUCAGCUAGCUGCUCGCAAAGCGGUCUCUCAGAACCUUCCCAAAUUUAAAGGGGAAGCAGAAGUUUGGCCGUUGUUUAUCAGCAGUUUCGAGUACACGACUGCAGCUUGCGGAUUCUCAAACCUCGAGAAUUUGAAGCGUUUGCAGGACUGUCUACAGGGUGACGCACUUGAGGCGGUCAGGAGUCGGCUAGUGCUACCGGACUUGUUAGUUUUAGACAAAGUACUAGUAUAGUUAAAAUUAGUCUUAAGGAUUUUUGUAACGUGCUAUGUAAAAAAAAAGAAACUGGCGUAAAAAGCUUUUGCAAAUGCCGUGUCAAAUAAACGUAUGGAACUAAGUGCUACCGGACUCUGUUCCGGAUGUGAUCAGGGAUCUUCGAAAUCUGUUCGGAAAACCGGAGAAGCUGCUCAGAACGUUGCUGUCGAAGGUGAGGAACGCGCCGUCACCGAGAGCUGAUCGAUUGGAGACGUUCAUCAGCUUCGGGAUAACGGUGAAGCAGUUAUGCGACCACCUUGAAGCGUCAGGACUUUGUGACCACCUAAACAAUCCGAUGCUGGUGCAGGAGUUAGUUGACAAGUUGCCACCGAGCUACAAACUGGAUUGGGUCCGGUAUAAGCGAGGGAAGGUGGACAGUCCGUUGCGAAUGUUCACGAACUUCACAAAUGACAUCGUUUCGGAUGUGUCGGAGGUGACGGAGUUCUCGACAUUGUCGCUAAGCGAGCGCGAGCCUUCGCGAAUGGGGAAAGGAAAUUCCCGAAAGAAGGAGUUUGUACAUCUCCAUGACGCGGACCAGGUUUCUAAUGAAAUUCAAAGAGAGACAGUAACUAAGCCGUGCUGGAUCUGUAAACGAACGGAUCAUCUCAUCAGGUGCUGUGAGGAGUUUAAGCGGAUGAACAUUGCCGCCAGGUUGAGAGAAGUUGAGCGACAAAACCUGUGUGGUCUUUGUUUGAACAAGCACGGAAACAGCAGAUGCACCUCGAAGAUUCGAUGCUUCAUGCAAAAUUGUCGUGGAGGCCAUCAUCCACUUUUGCAUCGAGUGGAGGAAUCGGUGCGGCUGCAGAAGGUAGAAUGCAAUGCUACCGAAAAGGCAGAUAGUGCGGUUAUUUUCCGUAUGAUGCCGGUGACGCUUUACGUGGGCAAACGACAGUUCGAUACUACUGCGUUCUUCGACGAAGGGUCGUCGGCUACGUUGGUAGAUGAUCUGGUGGCCAGGCGGCUGAAAGCAGAGGGUACUCUAGAGCCGUUGAUAGUGACGUGGACGGGCAAUAUCAACCGCUUUGAGAACGAUUCGAGGAAGGUCGAACUGAUGAUGUCGGCGAAGGGUUCGAAGGAGAAGUUUCCGCUGUUCAACACUCGAACGGUAUCAGAGUUGGUGCUGCCGAAGCAGAACGUGCGAUUCGCAGAUGUGGUAAAAAAAUAUUCCCAUCUUGCAGGCGUUCCGGUGAGAGAUUACCCAUCGGGAAAGCCGAGAAUCCUACUCGGGCUAGACAACGUCCACUUAUUUGCGCCGUUGGAGUCGCGGGUCGGUAAGCCAAACGAACCGAUUGCCGUGCGGUCGAAGAUUGGCUGGAUAGUGUAUGGUUCGGAGAACCGAAGACCGAGUGCGUACACCUACCUGAAUCUGCACUCGAUCGUUCCAGCAAGCAAUCAAGGUCUCCAUGACAUGAUGCGAGAGCAAUACAUGCUAGAUGAGACAGCGAUUGCGACGUUCGCUGUACCGGAGCCCGUGGAGGAGAAAAGAGCUCGAGAGAUGCUUGAGACAACGACGAAGCGAGUGGGUGAUCGCUUCGAAACGGGGUUGCUGUGGCGUGAGGACGCACGACGAUUCCCUGACAGCUAUCCGAUAGCUGUACGCCGGAUGAAGGCUCUGGACCGUAUGCUGAACAGGAAUUCAGACUUGAAGAAAAACGUGUGCCAGCAGAUCGAGGACUAUCAAGUCAAACACUACGCGCACAAGGCGAGUGAAGCCGAACUGAAGGGUACGCCACAAACCGCUGUGUGGUAUCUACCGCUGAACGUCGUAGUGAAUCUGAAGAAGCCGAGUAAGGUGCGCUUGGUUUGGGAUGCUGCAGCAUCAGUGAACGGAGUCUCUCUUAACUCAGAGUUACUCAAAGGUCCGGAUAUGCUAGUUCCGCUUCCCAGAGUAAUCUGCAAUUUUCGGGAACGGCCAGUAGCAUUCGGUGGUGACAUUCAAGAAAUGUACCAUCAGAUCCGGAUCAGACCUGAGGAUAGGCAAGCGCAACGGUUUUUGUUCCGAGCGAACAGUGAGGAAGCUCCGCAGGUGUACGUUAUGGACGUUGCCACCUUUGGUUCCACGUGUUCGCCCUGCUCAGCUCAAUUUGUGAAGAACUUGAAUGCAGCAGAUUUCUCGGAGAAGUACCCUGAAGCAGUAGAAGCCAUCGUGAAGCGUCACUACGUAGAUGACUACUACAACAGCGUGGAUACUAUCGAAGAAGCGAUCCAGCGAGCCAGCGAAGUGAGGUACAUCCAUUCGUGUGGAGGAUUUCGGAUCAGAAACUGGGUGUCGAACUCUGCUAGAUUUCUCGAACAAAUAGGAGAAAGGAGUGUCGAUUCCGCAGUGCAUUUCAACUGGGACAAGAACACCGAAUACGAGCGUGUGCUAGGCGUUGUUUGGGACCUGGUUGGAGACGAGUUCCGUUUUGCGACCGAAUGGAAAGCAGAGUACAACAAGGUUUUCCUAGAGGAAAAACGCCCGACGAAAAGAAUUGUUCUGAGCAUUGUGAUGGCGCAAUUCGAUCCAGCAGGAUUUCUUGCUCCAGUUACAAUUCUCGGGAAAAUGCUGGUUCAGGAUCUGUGGCGGACAGGCUGCGACUGGGAUGACGCAAUCGAUGAGCUGUCGUUCAGGAAGUGGUUGCGGUGGACCAACAUUCUCGCAGACGUGCCAGUGUUUAAGCUACCUCGAAGCUAUUUCGGAACUGCGAGAUCAGAUGAGGUCGAAGAAGUCCAGCUUCACAUCUUUGCUGAUGCCAGCGAGACGGCGUACGGAUGUGUGGCAUACUUCCGUGCAAUCGUACGGGGUAAGGUGGUGUGUUCGCUAGUGAUGAGUCGAGCGAAGGUAGCACCGUUGAAGCAGCUGUCGAUUCCGCGGCUAGAACUCCUGGCAGCGGUUCUUGCGGCAAGGCUGGCACGAACGAUCGAGCAGAAUCACAACUUCACGAUCAGUAGAGUGGUGUUCUGGAUUGACGCAGAAGUGGUGCUGUCCUGGAUUCGGUCGGAUCAGCGCCGCUACAAGCAAUUUGUUGGUUUUCGCAUUGGCGAAAUUCUUAGUUUGACUAAACUGACAGAUUGGCGAUGGGUUCCGACGAGAUUGAACGUGGCGGAUCUGGUAACCAAAUGGGGUAAAGGUCUGGAGAUACACCCCAACAGCCCGUGGAUACGUGGGCAACAAUUUUUGUACGACAGUGUGGAAAAGUGGCCGAAGAGAGAAUUACCUCCAGCUAACACUACGGAGGAGCUUCGGGUUCACUUGAUGCUGCACGACGUGCAAGUUGCACAGGCUAUCGUGGACGCCAAUCGGUUUUCUAAGUGGACAGUGCUGGUGAGGACAAUGGCGUGCGUAAUCCGGUUCGUGUCGAACUGUAGACGAAAGAGCAAAAAACUGCCGAUUGAGACGCUAAAAGCAACGAGCAGACAGAGCAGAGUACUACAACCGACGGCAGCUGCGUCAGUACGUGUGGCGUUACAGCAAAGUGAGUACGAGAAGGCGGAACUAUGGCUGAUGAAGAUGGCACAGGCGGAGUGUUUCAUCGAUGAGUUGAAGGUACUGGUCAGGAAUAAGGAUCGGCCGGUGAGCCAAUGGCUGUCGAUCGAAAAGUCCAGUGCACUCUACAAACUUACUCCGCUGAUUGACGAAAACGGGCUGAUUCGAAUGGAGGGGAGAGCAGAGAAAGCAGAGUUGCUGUCAUUCGAUCUACGUUUUCCAACGAUCCUGCCACAUCAGCAUAAAAUCACGCAGCUGAUUGUUCAGCAUUACCACGAGAAGAGCGGUCACGGAUAUCGACAGGCGGUGAAGAACGAGCUGAAGCAGUUGUUCUACAUUCCGCAGCUUGACGCAGUAGUCCGGAAGGUGUCGUCGUCUUGCGUAUGGUGUAAGGUCCAUCGAAGUCGGCCUCGAGUUCCACGAAUGGCUCCGCUACCAGUGCAGCGGUUAACACCGAAUCUUCGUCCCUUUAGUUACACAGGUGUGGAUUAUUUGGGCCCAUUUGCUGUUACUGUAGGACGCCGAACGGAGAAGAGAUGGGUCGCAUUGUUCACCUGCUUGGCAACCCGCGCGGUGCACCUGGAGGUGGCUCACGGACUGACUACGCAGUCGUGCUUGAUGGCGAUUCACCGGUUCAUUGGUCGGCGAGGUUGGCCGAUGGAGUUUCUGUCCAACAAUGGGACGAACUUCCUAGGAGCCAGUAAGGAACUGGAAGGAGUUGUUCGAGAAAUAGGAGAAGAUUGUGCGGAUCAGCUGACUAGCGCGAGAACGAAGUGGACGUUCAACCCCCCUUUGGCUCCUCACAUGGGAGGAGUAUGGGAGCGUCUUGUUCGGUCGGUUAAGGAGGCAUUCGUGGCGCUUGAUGAUGGGAGACGCUUGACGGAUGAAAUUUUGCAGACAGUAGUGGUGGAAGCGGAAGACAUGAUCAAUUCUCGCCCGCUAACGUACGUGUCUCAAGAGUGUGACGAAGCGGAGGCACUCACUCCAAACCACCUUUUGCGGGGACUCUCCCCAAAUCAGCCUAGCGUGAAUCUUCCCCCACCUCAUCCAGCAGCAGCACUUCGAGACGCGUUCCAGCGAUCGCAGCAGUUGGCCAGCAUUUUGUGGGAACGUUGGGUCAAGGAGUACAUUCCUUCGCUGAACCAGAGGACAAAGUGGUUUGGUGAGUCGAGACCAUUAAGAAUAGGAGACUUAGUUUAUGUGGUAGAAGGUAGCAACCGGAAGUGCUGGAUCCGCGGGGUGAUAGAGGAGGUCAUCGUGUCCGGUGAUGGACGAAUUCGGCAGGCCUGGGUACGCACCAACAGUGGACGAUAUAGGCGAGCAACAACAAAACUAGCCGUGAUGGAGUUUGGUAACUCUGAACCGGAUGCGAGCUCCGGUACAGGGUUACGGGCCGGGGAAUGUUCUGGCAUCACUGGCAGUUGCACCAUUGCACCUGUGUCGAAUUGACAGAUGCAACAAAUUUGCUGUCAUGCUGACAGACGACGAAGUGCAUCACGAAUGUAGUGCGAGGGAACUGUCAGACAACAUAAGUAAACAAACAACAUAAGAAGGAAAGUAGGAUAGAAAAACACCAAUUUGGAAAGUGAUAGUAGUAGAAUAGUAAAAUACGUUGGAAUAAGAAAUUAGAAGUUGUGAGCAAGGAAAUUAUUCGGAUAGUGGAUAGAUUAAAGAUUAAGCUGUACUAAGAUCCAGAAUACAUACGCGGAGGCAAACACUGGACAAAUACGAACGGUACAGUUGAGAUUAUCAAUUCCGAGAUAAAACGAAGUAAGUGAACGUACAAAUUAAUUACUAAAACCGAUAAAAUGAAAAAUGUGAAUAUUAAAUUGUAGAUAAAUUGCGAUAGACAGCGAUAGAGGAAGGAAAAGAGGAAGCUGUAAAGUAAGGAGAACAAACAAUUGUGAGUAAGACAAAUAAUCGAUUAUUUACGGUAAAUUAAAAUAAAGUUAUUUAGUUUGAUCUGCACAGUAAAAAAAGGCGGAUUUUCAAAAAUCUUGUUUUCGCCUGC